RNAcentral lists this transfer RNA (72 nucleotides) under Bos taurus (domestic cattle). It matches the Rfam family "tRNA". Rfam says of the family: Transfer RNA (tRNA) molecules are approximately 80 nucleotides in length. RNAcentral also lists the same sequence under 5 other names. Lineage: Eukaryota; Metazoa; Chordata; Mammalia; Artiodactyla; Bovidae. The record is from Rfam by way of RNAcentral.
UCCCUGGUGGCUCAGAUGGUAAAGAAUCUGCCUGCAAUGCAGGAGACCCCGGUUCAAGCCCUGGCUCAGGAA